UACGGAGGGUGCGAGCGUUGUCCGGAAUCAUUGGGCGUAAAGCGCGCGUAGGUGGCUUUGUAAGUCCGUUGUGAAAGUCAGAGGCUCAACCUUUGAAUGCCGAUGGAUACUGCAGAGCUAGAGUACGGAAGAGGCGAGUGGAAUUCCUGGUGUAGCGGUGGAAUGCGCAGAUAUCAGGAGGAACACCAAUAGCGAAGGCAGCUCGCUGGGACGUUACUGACACUAAGGCGCGAAAGCGUGGGGAGCGAACAGG
RNAcentral lists this ribosomal RNA (253 nucleotides) under uncultured bacterium. RNAcentral's name for it is "partial 16S ribosomal RNA". It matches the Rfam family "Bacterial small subunit ribosomal RNA", at positions 524 to 776 of the family's 1533-position model. The record is from RNAcentral.